This 653-nucleotide ribosomal RNA is filed under the name uncultured bacterium. RNAcentral's name for it is "bacterial SSU rRNA". It matches the Rfam family "Bacterial small subunit ribosomal RNA", at positions 62 to 704 of the family's 1533-position model. The record is from RNAcentral.
UCGAGGGGCAGCAUAUAGAUUGCUUGCAAUUUAUGAUGGCGACCGGCGCACGGGAGAGUAACGCGUAUCCAACCUACCCAUUACUAGGGAAUAACCCAGCGAAAGUUGGCCUAAUGCCCUAUGUAGUCGUUUGAUCGCCUGAGAUUUCGACGAAAGAUUUAUCGGUAUUGGAUGGGGAUGCGUCUGAUUAGCUUGUUGGCGGGGUAAAGGCCCACCAAGGCAACGAUCAGUAGGGGUUCUGAGAGGAAGGUCCCCCACAUUGGAACUGAGACACGGUCCAAACUCCUACGGGAGGCAGCAGUGAGGAAUAUUGGUCAAUGGGCGAGAGCCUGAACCAGCCAAGUAGCGUGCAGGAUGACGGCCCUAUGGGUUGUAUACUGCUUUUAUAUGGGAAUAAAGUGAGGGACGUGUCCCUUAUUGCAUGUACCAUAUGAAUAAGGACCGGCUAAUUCCGUGCCAGCAGCCGCGGUAAUACGGAAGGUCCAGGCGUUAUCCGGAUUUAUUGGGUUUAAAGGGAGCGUAGGCUGUUUGUUAAGCGUGUUGUGAAAUGUAAGAGCUCAACUUUUAGAUUGCAGCGCGAACUGGCAGACUUGAGUGCGCACAACGUAGGCGGAAUUCAUGGUGUAGCGGUGAAAUGCUUAGAUAUCAUGACG